Molecule: ribosomal RNA, 501 nt
Filed under: Gelidium sp.
Lineage: Eukaryota; Rhodophyta; Florideophyceae; Gelidiales; Gelidiaceae
Description: SSU rRNA
Rfam family: Eukaryotic small subunit ribosomal RNA
Source: RNAcentral
GAGAAACGGCUACCACAUCCAAGGAAGGCAGCAGGCGCGCAAAUUACCCAAUCCGGACACCGGGAGGUAGUGACAAGAAAUAGCAAUAGAGGGCCCGAUGGGUUUUCUAAUUGGAAUGAGAACAAGGUAAACAGCUUAUCGAGGAGCCAGCAGAGGGCAAGUCUGGUGCCAGCAGCCGCGGUAAUUCCAGCUCUGUAAGCGUAUACCAAAGUUGUUGCAGUUAAAACGCUCGUAGUCGGAACUUGGCGGGCGACGCAGGGCGUCUUUGCGGACGGAUCUGUAUCGGCCGCCUUUGUGGAGGGGGGCUUAGCGGUGCUUUAUUGCCUUGCUAAGUCGCUGCCACCGUUUACUGUGAAAAAAUUGGAGUGUUCAAAGCAGGCGUUUGCCUUGUACACAUUAGCAUGGAAUAAUAGAAUAGGACCUGGUUCUGUUUUGUUGGUUUGUGAGAAUUAGGUAAUGAUUAAGAGGGACGGUUGGGGGCAUUUGUAUUCUGCCGUCAGA